AAUUUUUUUUUUUAAAUGGAAACUAGCUGACAUUAAAAAAAUAUCAGGGGAAACAAACAAAACAUGUCUCAUACACUGUAACUUCGGGACUCAACAAACCAUAUUGAAAAGUGCAGACCAAAUUAAAUGCAAAAACAAAGAAAACAAGAAAAUGAAAGAAAGAGCAGCAAAAGAAACCCAAUCGUCAGAACCAUUUUCCCUCAAAAAACUUAAACAGAACCAGCUAAAGCUCUCCAAUCUCUAGGAAAACAGAAAUGCAUGAAGCCAUCAACAAAACCCAGAAGAGAGCGGAGCUUCAAUUUAUUCAUCGGAGUAAAGAAUCAAAAUUCCCGACGAACUAAAGCCAAAGAAACCUAAUGCAGAAAGGAGCAGUUCGCCAUGUCUAUCUUUGCGACUCGCUCAACUAUCUUCGGGGCUUCCUCGAUCCAGAAUCGACCCUCAGGAUCUUGGCGCCCCUCCUUGGCCAAGUCUCCCUCAAUCUGGACGCGACGAAAGCCAAUAUCCUGUGCAAAUCAAAUCGCCUGCUCGUAUGUCCGGGCUUCUACAACAAAGGCAUCGGCAAUAUUAAUAUGAGGGUAAGUACAAGCCCCCAUAACUAGCCCUCUUUCAUUUCUUGCAAUAAUGCCUGAGAUGGAUGUUUUCUCCUGUAAAUUAAAAGAUGAGUCAAAGUUAACUGUUAUAAAAUCCAAAUCUAGUGGUCUCCAGUGAAUUUGCGUAGAGGAGCAUCUAGGGUAUCCCACUAUUUCAAGGGCUUCAAUUUUAGCCAAGUAACCUAAAACGAGCACCACCAAAUCACUCAACGUUUGACUUGUACACUCGUGAAUUAAUUUAUUUCGUGCAAACCAAAUAGACCAAACAGAUAGAGUCACCAGCUUUCUAUUUCUGUCGUCUGUUGUUUGGAAAACCUCUACUGGCCAAUAUUUGUAAUCUAGAUGUUUCGACAUAAAGCGCACAGUGAAUCGCAAAGAAGUCAAAAACUGGCUUGUUACUGGGCAAAAACGCAGUAGGUGGUCAACAGAUUGUAAAUCUGUGUGACACAACAGACAAAGAAUAGGAGUAGAAAUAUGUCGUUUGUUUAAGUUAGCAUACGUAGGCAUUAAAAUUGUUGUAGAAUUUCCACAUUGUAAUUUUAAUCUUCGCUAGAAGUUGUAAUGCCCAUAAAUCCGAGAGAAGUUCUUUGCGGAGGUAGUCAUAGGAGUAGACGAAUCUUUUUGUAAUUCUGAAUUUCCUUGUAUAAGUACCUUGUAACCACUCUUCACAGUAUACGCCCCCGAUCCGUCCAGCCUCCAAAUCCUAGAACUCAGGGGCGAAGCUAGAAAAGAAUUUUUGGAGGGGCCGAAGGAAAUUUUAAUUUUUUAUAGUCUAUAUAUUUAUAAUUUUUAAAGGAUUAAAUUGAAUUUUUAUAAUUUUAGGGGGGGCCAAAGUACAAUUUUACUUUUACUAAUUUAAAAUUUUAAAAAAAUCUAAAGGGCCUAAAUGAAAAUUUUCCAUUUUAGGGGGGGCCGGGGCCCAUGCCUACCCCCCCUGGUUUCGCCCCUGCUAGAACUAGGUAGUUUUGUCCUGGCCAGGGUUAUAGACAAAA
This is a long non-coding RNA of Gossypium arboreum, 1582 nucleotides long. RefSeq lists it as uncharacterized. Lineage: Eukaryota; Viridiplantae; Streptophyta; Magnoliopsida; Malvales; Malvaceae. The transcript is spliced from 2 exons. The record is from RefSeq and is a predicted model, not a curated record.